GACGAACGCUGGCGGCGUGCUUAACACAUGCAAGUCGAACGGAAAGGCCCUGCUUGCCGGGUACUCGAGUGGCGAACGGGUGAGUAACACGUGGGUGAUCUGCCCUGCACUUCGGGAUAAGCUUGGGAAACUGGGUCUAAUACCGGAUAGGACCGCACUUUAGUGUGUGUGGUGGAAAGUUUUUUCGGUGUAGGAUGAGCUCGCGGCCUAUCAGCUUGUUGGUGGGGUAAUGGCCUACCAAGGCGGCGACGGGUAGCCGGCCUGAGAGGGUGUACGGCCACAUUGGGACUGAGAUACGGCCCAGACUCCUACGGGAGGCAGCAGUGGGGAAUAUUGCACAAUGGGCGCAAGCCUGAUGCAGCGACGCCGCGUGGGGGAUGAAGGCCUUCGGGUUGUAAACUCCUUUCGCUAGGGACGAAGCUUUUUGUGACGGUACCUAGAGAAGAAGCACCGGCUAACUACGUG
This 465-nucleotide ribosomal RNA is filed under the name uncultured bacterium. RNAcentral's name for it is "partial 16S ribosomal RNA". It matches the Rfam family "Bacterial small subunit ribosomal RNA", at positions 28 to 507 of the family's 1533-position model. The record is from RNAcentral.